UCUAAUGGUUAUAACUUUAUGUAUAAAUAGUCUUUUUAUUAUUAAUUUUGGAUAUAAAUCUGUUUUUAAUUUUAAUUAAAUGAAAUUAAAUUCUAAAUUGUACAAACUUUUAGUCCCCCUAAAUUGCUAACAACUUAAAAUUAAACAUUAGAAUAAAUGUCCAUGCUUGACUUAAAAUUACAGUAUACAUUUUUAUAUCAUAGCUAUUGUUCUUUAAAAUACUUUUCAGCAUUUCAGAAAUAAAUAUGUAUGCAAAUUACUCCAAAGUACAACACUUAACGUACCUUACGGUGUUAAAGAGUGCUCAAAAAGGGUUUAAGCACUGUAUUUUGAAUCGAUUACUUCUUGUAAACUCAGAGAUGUGAUUCAGAUGGCAAUUAAACUACCACACGACCUCAGUGUUUGUUAAGAUAAAAACAGCAGGUAAUUUUGCUGGGGAUUUUAAAGGGGGGGGAUGAGAGAAAAACACGACAGAAACAAUUACCAUCCGAAUAGGGCUUAAAUCGCCAUCUGAGUACAUUAAAUUUAUGAAGUGAUAUGUACAUUUAUUUUUACAGAUGUCCACAUCUGAAACAGUUACCAUCCGAAUCGGGCUUAAAGACUAUACUUUUCAGAUGUCAGAUUCGUAAAUGAUGCUGCCAUAAUGACUUUUUAUUAAGUUCACAGAUUUUAUCCUCCAUUAGAAUUUUUAUUUAUAUGUUUAUAGUAACUUUUUCUCUGAAAUAUAAAGCUACCUUCUUAUUUGGCUAAAUGACCUAAAUAAACUUUACAGUGCUUGUGAAAACUGUAUUACUGUAUGAAGUAAUUUAAGGUACUGGCAGCUGUGGUUGCCAGAAUUUUACUGUAAAUAUAGCAACAUUUUACGUUUUACAGAUUUAACUCAAAUUUACAUUUAAAAAUCAUAUUUAUCAUCACAAGCUGUUUUCUCGCUUGCUGAGGUGGAAAGAUAUAAACAGGUGCACAAGUGUCAAUCACACAAACACAAGACACCUUCAUAUAAACACACAAAACUGAAAUAUUGCAAUGAACACAUUGUUUUGGUAGUUUUAGUGUAUUGUGAAUGGGAAAUUUACUGCUGUGCCAAAAUGAAAGUUGAUUAGGAGAAUUGUGUGAAGAGUUUUGAAAACAAAACCUAGCAUAUACAGGUCACAGUGUGUGUAAUAUUAAAUAUAUUUACAGCAGCAGGUGGAAAUAAACUGAAUCUUCACCCACCAUGCUGGGGGUUAUGUACUGUAAGUUAUGAUAUAAACCAGCAUGUUAAUUCAUAUAAAUCCACCGUAACCAGGCAAAUUCAUGUUCCACAGCUGUGCAUCCUAAAGCUCUUGACCACAAACACAAGAGCAGCAGUGGAGAAAAAGACUAUUACAGCUCAUCAAAAGCUGAAAUUAAUACAUGGCAGAAAAUCGCCACAAACUACAGGAAUCACAAAAAAUGAGCAGCAAUGAGGAUGAGAGACAAUCUACUGAAGCAGGAGAGAAACAGAUACUGAGAAGAGCUCAAUGGAGCAGCAUCCAUAAAAAAAGACCAAACUUUUCUCAUGAUUCAGACACUCAGAGAAAACAGAUGUUCCAGUUUCAUCGUCAUUGUCUGUCGCUGAAGCUGCGGAUUUACAAACGCCUUAAGAAACUCUUCUAUUCCACUGUUUGAUUAUAUCUACACUACAGUAACCGUUUUAUAUGUAGCUUUAAAUUCAUUUCAUCUGGUUCUGUAAAAAAUAUAAUUAUAUGAUUCAGUGUUAAUAUAGUAUUCAUAAGUGAAUCUACAUUAAUAACAGCAUUGCAUUGAAAGUUACAUUUAUUUUGGCAAUUAUUCCAUUCCUUGAUGUUACUUGCACCAUACUCAGCUAAUUCAUAUUAAGAUAUGUAAAGUAGGAAGAAUGUGUGUAUGAAUGUAUUUGUGAAUGUUUUUAUGUGUUUGUUUUAUAUUAACCACCUAUAAACUGUAAUCACUGUAUGUAUCUGUGUCAUACAUUGUCACAGAUUCUCAAAUAUGAUGUUGGCAUAAUAACUUUUAAGUUGUCACUAUGUUUUAUCCACCAUUGGAGUCACUGGUUGUCAAUAAAGAAACUGUAAUUAA
Molecule: long non-coding RNA, 2076 nt
Organism: Carassius auratus (goldfish)
Lineage: Eukaryota; Metazoa; Chordata; Actinopteri; Cypriniformes; Cyprinidae
Exons: 4
Source: RefSeq, a predicted model, not a curated record